This 490-nucleotide ribosomal RNA is filed under the name uncultured bacterium. RNAcentral's name for it is "partial 16S ribosomal RNA". It matches the Rfam family "Bacterial small subunit ribosomal RNA", at positions 28 to 507 of the family's 1533-position model. The record is from RNAcentral.
GAUGAACGCUAGCUACAGGCUUAACACAUGCAAGUCGCGGGGCAGCAUGGGGGUUGCUUGCAAUCCCCGAUGGCGACCGGCGCACGGGUGAGUAACGCGUAUCCAACCUGCCCUUCACCACGGGAUAACCCGGCGAAAGUCGGACUAAUACCGUAUGUUGUCCAUUGACGGCAUCCGAUUUGGACGAAAGGCUUGGCGGUGAGGGAUGGGGAUGCGUCCGAUUAGCCAGACGGCGGGGUAACGGCCCACCGUGGCUACGAUCGGUAGGGGUUCUGAGAGGAAGGUCCCCCACACUGGAACUGAGACACGGUCCAGACUCCUACAGGAGGCAGCAGUGAGGAAUAUUGGUCAAUGGGCGUAAGCCUGAACCAGCCAAGUAGCGUGCAGGAUGACGGCCCUAUGGGUUGUAAACUGCUUUUAUGCGGGGAUAAAGUGGCCCACGUGUGGGCUUUUGCAGGUACCGCAUGAAUAAGGACCGGCUAAUUCCGUG